This 478-nucleotide ribosomal RNA is filed under the name uncultured bacterium. RNAcentral describes it as "partial 16S ribosomal RNA". It matches the Rfam family "Bacterial small subunit ribosomal RNA", at positions 28 to 507 of the family's 1533-position model. The record is from RNAcentral.
GAUGAACGCUAGCGGCAGGCCUAACACAUGCGAGUCGAGGGAGAAGCCCUUUCGGGGGCUGAAACCGGCGCACGGGUGCGUAACGCGUAUGCAACCUACCUUCCACAGGGGGAUAGCCCGAAGAAAUUUGGAUUAAUACCCCAUAAUAUUAUUGGAUGGCAUCAUUUGAUAAUUAAAACUGCGGUGGUGAAAGAUGGGCAUGCGUCCUAUUAGCUAGUUGGAGUGGUAACGUCACCCCAAGGCUACGAUAGGUAGGGGUCCUGAGAGGGAGAUCCCCCACAAGGGUACAGCGACAGAGACCAGACUCCUACGGGAGGCAACAGUGAGGAAUAUUAGGCAGUGGUCGGAAAACUGAACCAGCCGUGCCACGUGCAGGAAGAAUGCCUUAGGGGUGGUAAACUGCUUGUAUAGGGGAAAAGUAAGGCGAACGAGUACGUUGAUGACGGUACCAUAUGAAUAAGCAUCGGCUAACUCCGUG